CAAAGAACUACAUAUCCUAAAGUAUAUUUAAGCUUUAAAAUAUUUGUUUGACAAAACUAUUAGUAGCAAUUUAUGAACCUUCAAGUAUUUUAGAUUUAACAGAUAAAAGAUAUUUUUCAAAGAAUGUAAGCCCAAAAAUAUUAUGCUGAAAAGACCGUUGAAAAAGGAAUUGCAGGAUGAGGCUAUUACAUUUUGCGAUGUGACCAAAAUCUCUUCCAAUAGAUACGUGUACUAAAAUCAUAUUAAAGAUCAUCAAAUUGAAUCUCUUACUUUGCAUUUUUGUCCCCAAGAAUAAUAAUAAAGAGGGACCAAUUAAGAUGAGAGUAAUUUUUCUCAAGCUAGACAUCACAUCAAUAUAUUCAUAAAGAAUAUAUAUUGAAAACUUAUACAUUACUAAAUCUUCUCAUUUUAAAACAACUCUUUAAUAAUGUAUUAAAAUCAAUACAGCAUCAACAACAUACACCCAUAUUCAUCUGUCAAAACUUAGCACUUAGGCUCUGCCAAAUCCAGAAAAUGUGUCAACCUUAUCACCUACCUUUAGCAAAGCUUGAAAAUAUAAUGUUCAGAUACCAAGACACAUAAUACACAUCUAAGGCUGCAGCUGGGGUCCUGGGUCUGUAACACACAACAACCACAAAAAAAUAUGCCAUUAUAAGGAUAAAUAUUCAGUAUCUGAACUUAAACACGUUAGGCAAGAACAGCAAGACUGUAACUCAUUCUUCGGGUUGAGCACUUUUACACAAGGAACACAAAGUUCCUAAUUCACCUAAAAUAACUCUAAAGCUACUGGACUAAUAUGAGUUACAAAAAUUCUUGAGAGUUGGGACUCCUGGACAAUCAGUUAAUUCACCAAACUACAGAAACCACACGAAAAACCCAUGAAAAUACUUUGGAUUUUCACACACAUGCCCUUUUUUAAAGUUAAUAUCAUUAAAACAGCUAUGUCAAGGUUUACACGUCCAUUUCCAUUCUAACAAUAACAAAGGCUUUUAAAAAAAUCUCAAAGGGGGUUUUAUGAUGGUGCAAAUACAAAGCCCUGGAGAAGAGAACAGGACAGCUGGUGAGCAAGCAGAGAUGGAUUCCAUUUCAGGCAAGAUUUCUCUGUUUCUUUAUAAGAAUCGCACUUCUCUGCUUUCUCUAUUCUUAAAAGGAAAAUUCCUUUAUAGAUGCUUUGAUGGGACAGGGACCUAAGCUCCUAGAGGAAUCAACUUUCAAUACAAUUUGGGGACUCAGGGUGGACUGUAGGCACCAGCGCAUGCCACAGGACCUCACCAAGCAGACCAGGCCAGGGGCGCAUUGUUAGGGUGUGCAAACAAGUCAAGAUGGCGCCUGGCAUUUUGCCAGGGGGAGUGGUUUGUGAAGUAAUGCCAGAAAGCCAUUAAGUGUGGAGAUUCCUUAUUGGUUGACUGCUGUAUGUAGUUUUUGUUAAUUAAGAUAAGCUGUGUGUAAUGUAUAUAUACCCCUCCUGUUCUACAAUAAAGGGCUCUCACUCCUGCUGUAUCAAUCUACACAAGUUGCUCCUUCACCCCUGGUUAUUUUGCUGCAGCCAGAGUAUGGCAGCGCAUUAGCUCUCCAGUUCACCCCUCCAGUCUCGCUCAAUUGCUCCCUCUUAUUCUCUCCUUAAAGUCAGCUCUCAUAGCCCUCUGUAUCCUAAAAAACGUUCUUGGCCUCUAUGUUGGCGGCUAGGCGGCCUCCUGCUCUCUGAGCCCAAGUCCUCAGCGCCUGAGGUUCAGCGCUAUGUUCCUGCCACCGCCCCUCGGGAGUCCCAGGUGCUUCCCCAACCCUUACUUGGGCAAGAAGCUGGGAGCUCCUUAGUCCCUACUGCUCGCUGGCUGCAGGC
This 1840-nucleotide long non-coding RNA is filed under the name Marmota monax (woodchuck). The record is from RNAcentral. Lineage: Eukaryota; Metazoa; Chordata; Mammalia; Rodentia; Sciuridae.